CGCUUAUGCGUUGUUGGGUAGGGGAGCGUUCUGUAAGCCUGUGAAGGUGGCCUGUGAGGGUUGCUGGAGGUAUCAGAAGUGCGAAUGCUGACAUAAGUAACGAUAAAGCGGGUGAAAAGCCCGCUCGCCGGAAGACCAAGGGUUCCUGUCCAACGUUAAUCGGGGCAGGGUGAGUCGACCCCUAAGGCGAGGCCGAAAGGCGUAGUCGAUGGGAAACGGGUUAAUAUUCCCGUACUUGGUGUUACUGCGAAGGGGGGACGGAGAAGGCUAUGUUGGCCGGGCGACGGUUGUCCCGGUUUAAGCGUGUAGGUGUGUGUUCCAGGUAAAUCCGGUUCACUUUAACACUGAGGCGUGACGACGAGGCACUACGGUGCUGAAGCAACAAAUGCCCUGCUUCCAGGAAAAGCCUCUAAGCAUCAGGUAACAUCAAAUCGUACCCCAAACCGACACAGGUGGUCAGGUAGAGAAUACCAAGGCGCUUGAGAGAACUCGGGUGAAGGAACUAGGCAAAAUGGUGCCGUAACUUCGGGAGAAGGCACGCUGAUAUGUAGGUGAAGCGGUUUACCCGUGGAGCUGAAAUCAGUCGAAGAUACCAGCUGGCUGCAACUGUUUAUUAAAAACACAGCACUGUGCAAACACGAAAGUGGACGUAUACGGUGUGACGCCUGCCCGGUGCCGGAAGGUUAAUUGAUGGGGUCAGCGCAAGCGAAGCUCCUGAUCGAAGCCCCGGUAAACGGCGGCCGUAACUAUAACGGUCCUAAGGUAGCGAAAUUCCUUGUCGGGUAAGNGACGCCUGCCCGGUGCCGGAAGGUUAAUUGAUGGGGUCAGCGCAAGCGAAGCUCCUGAUCGAAGCCCCGGUAAACGGCGGCCGUAACUAUAACGGUCCUAAGGUAGCGAAAUUCCUUGUCGGGUAAGUUCCGACCUGCACGAAUGGCGUAAUGAUGGCCAGGCUGUCUCCACCCGAGACUCAGUGAAAUUGAACUCGCUGUGAAGAUGCAGUGUACCCGCGGCAAGACGGAAAGACCCCGUGAACCUUUACUAUAGCUUGACACUGAACAUUGAGCCUUGAUGUGUAGGAUAGGUGGGAGGCUUUGAAGCGUGGACGCCAGUCUGCGUGGAGCCGACCUUGAAAUACCACCCUUUAAUGUUUGAUGUUCUAACGUGGACCCGU
This 1171-nucleotide ribosomal RNA is filed under the name Salmonella enterica subsp. enterica serovar Weltevreden. RNAcentral describes it as "bacterial LSU rRNA". It matches the Rfam family "Bacterial large subunit ribosomal RNA", at positions 1212 to 2236 of the family's 2925-position model. Lineage: Bacteria; Pseudomonadati; Pseudomonadota; Gammaproteobacteria; Enterobacterales; Enterobacteriaceae. The record is from RNAcentral.